CCGAGAUUUAACGGGACUUAAAAUAAAACGGGUUGUGAACAAGAUAAAGUAACUAGGAAAUAAAUAACUUAGUACAAGUCUUGUAAUUAAAUGAAAGAAGUUAGUUUGAUGUGAAAAUAGUCUAAAAAUAUAAACUAAAGGGGCUGAUUAUGUAUAAGUGGCCAAACUAGACUUUUAUAAAAAAAAAAAAAAAGAAAUCACACACACACACAUCAGUGUGUGCGUGGGGAACGACCAGAGCAGGAAGAAAAAGGGUAAAACCCUAAACUCCACAAAAUCUUCUAAUUGAAGGUGCAAUUGAAGACCAAACUCGGAUUUGAAUACAUAUAAACGAUCACCGAGCUAAGGGGAUCGUAAGUUGACUCUAAACAAGCUAGGUGGGAGCUUGGAAAGGAACGGGUCAAACGGAUCAUGGAUGCGAAGAAUGUUUGCGCGAACGCGAGGUAAGUAAAGCUUACACCCAUUUGUAGUAAACGUAUGUAUUUUAUAGAUGAUAAAUGUGACAACCGAUUACAUUCGAAAUUGAAGUUCCGACACUAAGCAAUAUGAGUCGGAACGAAUAAAAAUGAUCAAAACCAUGGUUAAUGGUAAAAUGGACAAAAGGGUAAUUUCGUCGUGGAUCGACUAAGAAUUUAUAAGAUUUCUUUAAGGUUACCUUAUAGCGAAACUAGUAAUGGGAAAAAGGGUAAAUUAGUCACAUGUUGACUAUAUGUAAGUUGGGAUUAAAAAGAAUACCCAUGGUGUAAGCCAUAACGAGUUAGAUACGUAAGAAGAAUGAUCUUGUAGUUAAAACUUGAAAUGGGUUGAAUGGGAUAUUAAAAGCCAUGAUUUGACAUAAGUAUAAAUGUUUGGUCAUAAAUACCAAAUGGGUCAAAUGGUGGUGAUGACACUAUUUGACAAUAUCGACUAAUGUUUGGUUGUUAAGUUAAAUGUUCGCAGGAGUGAACGGGAAGUGGAUUAUUGCGUUGCUAUAAAGUAGCGGCUAAUAAAAGAAAGGUACAAAACGGGUCUAUAUGUUGACUCGAGCCAGGUACGCAUUAAUUAGAUCAUGGCGAUAUGCGUAGUUGAAUUUUAGAAUAUAAGUUACUAUGAAAUAUAGCGAUGAUAUCGCUACAUUGAAUAUUUGGUCAAAAGAUGGUUAGAACUCGUUGGUAGUCGUCAAAAAGGAAGGAAUUCCGUAGACGAGCCAAACGGGUCGAAUAAUCAAGUAAGGCAUGGUUAUUGUUUCGGAUUAUGAUGGUUUGAUGGUUGAUUUUGAAUAUUUUAUAACAUAUUAGAAAUAUGAGGUUUUAACGAAUUAGUAUCAUAGAAAACUGAAAACCGAGAGUUGGGUCUUGGAGUAAUGAUCAAACAAAACAAAACCUGACAUUCCAGGUACUACCGUAAAUUACGGUAGAACCGUAAAUUACGGUGGUUGUGAUAUGGUUUACGGAGCAGAUCUCCUGGUUUACGGUGACCAGACACUUCCAGGUCUCACCGUAAUCACCGUAAUUUACGGUGGAUUCAGAAUCACUUUUUAUAUUUUUGUUAUUUAUAAUGUGGCAUUAAGCCUUGGGAUUAUAUUAUUAUAUAUCAACGUCAAAACUAAUGAUUUUAACGGUUUUGAUCAUAGGAGAAUGCCAAGAGUGCCCGGAUGAAGAUCAAGCUCGAUGAGGAACCGAAUACAAUAAAAUCUAACACUCGGGAUUAAAGCUUCCGCACGGCGUUACGCCAUAUCUUUUAAACAACGAACUUAUCUAUAUUAUGUUGAAAACUUUUAAGUUGUAAAAGUUUUAGAUUACUUGUAUUUUCUAAGAAUACUUAAUCAAAUUUCAUGUUUA
Long non-coding RNA from Helianthus annuus (common sunflower), 1820 nucleotides. RefSeq lists it as uncharacterized. The record is from RefSeq and is a predicted model, not a curated record. NCBI's taxonomy places the organism in Eukaryota, Viridiplantae, Streptophyta, Magnoliopsida, Asterales, Asteraceae. The transcript has 2 exons.